UACUUCAUCAUCUUCCUUGGCUUUUCUCUUCGUUCCAUUGAAUUUACAGGUGCGUUUAAUCUCUUUUGAUAUGGUUAAACUUGCUUUUAAUCCGAUUAAAGUAAUCUUUGAUGUAUUAUCUUUUAUUUGAACCGAUUAAAAUGUGUUUUCGUUGUGUUUUGGUGUGGUUUUUUCUUGUGUCUUUGCGUAGUGUAGUGCACCUUCUCCCUUUGAUAGUUUCCUCCUA
This 226-nucleotide long non-coding RNA is filed under the name Vigna radiata. Its description in RNAcentral is "long non-coding RNA (VRAD_LNC003339)". Lineage: Eukaryota; Viridiplantae; Streptophyta; Magnoliopsida; Fabales; Fabaceae. The record is from RNAcentral.